RNAcentral lists this unclassified non-coding RNA (431 nucleotides) under plant metagenome. RNAcentral describes it as "partial contains 5.8S ribosomal RNA, internal transcribed spacer 2, and large subunit ribosomal RNA". The stretch from base 1 to 102 matches the Rfam family "5.8S ribosomal RNA", at positions 50 to 154 of the family's 154-position model. The record is from RNAcentral.
AAACUGCGAUAAGUAGUGUGAAUUGCAUUUAGUGAUUCAUCGAAUCUUUGAACGCACCCUGCACUCACUGGUAUUCCGGUGAGUACGCCUGUUUCAGUAUCAUUGAAAACACACAAUCAAAACAUUUUCUUUGGUUUGAUUGGCUUUGGGUCUAUCAAAAAGUUUGGCUUGUUUCUUACAAGCCAAGCGGCCUGAAAUAUAUUGUCUGGCUAAUUGCAUCGUUGAUGAUCGCUAUUAGACUUUGGCUUUUUUAAAUGAACUGGAGGUUGAUUAACCAGUUUUAGCUUUAGUCAAAUGGUCAUUGUAAAAAAAAUCUCGAUCUUGGCUAGGUGUUUAUAGCCGAAAAUUUUUUUUUGGCUAUAACCGAAACCAAUAUAAUCACAUUUAGUUAUCGAUCUGAAAUCAGGUGGGACUACCCGCUGAACUUAAGC